GCGCGGGUGGCUAAGCGGUACGGCGUCAGGCUGCAGACCUGAAAAUCGGGGGUUCAAAUCCCUCUCCGCGCU
RNAcentral lists this transfer RNA (72 nucleotides) under Candidatus Woesearchaeota archaeon. RNAcentral describes it as "tRNA-Cys". It matches the Rfam family "tRNA". Rfam says of the family: Transfer RNA (tRNA) molecules are approximately 80 nucleotides in length. Their secondary structure includes four short double-helical elements and three loops (D, anti-codon, and T loops). Further hydrogen bonds mediate the characteristic L-shaped molecular structure. tRNAs have two regions of fundamental functional importance: the anti-codon, which is responsible for specific mRNA codon recognition, and the 3' end, to which the tRNAs corresponding amino acid is attached (by aminoacyl-tRNA synthetases). tRNAs cope with the degeneracy of the genetic code in two manners: having more than one tRNA (with a specific anti-codon) for a particular amino acid; and 'wobble' base-pairing, i.e. permitting non-standard base-pairing at the 3rd anti-codon position. Lineage: Archaea; Nanobdellati; Candidatus Woesearchaeota. The record is from RNAcentral.